This 253-nucleotide ribosomal RNA is filed under the name uncultured bacterium. RNAcentral's name for it is "partial 16S ribosomal RNA". It matches the Rfam family "Bacterial small subunit ribosomal RNA", at positions 524 to 776 of the family's 1533-position model. The record is from RNAcentral.
UACGUAGGGGGCAAGCGUUGUCCGGAAUCAUUGGGCGUAAAGCGCGUGUAGGCGGCUAGCUAAGUCCGCUCUGAAAGCCCGGGGCUCAACCCCGGGAGGCGGGUGGAUACUGGUCAGCUCGAGUCCGGAAGAGGAGUGUGGAAUUCCUGGUGUAGCGGUGAAAUGCGCAGAUAUCAGGAGGAACACCAAUGGCGAAGGCAGCACUCUGGGACGGUACUGACGCUGAGACGCGAAAGCGUGGGGAGCAAACAGG